GACAGGAUACUGACACUUCAGAUNNNNNAAGCGUGGGGGAGCAAANCAGGAUNNNGAUACCCCUGGUAGUCCACGCCGUAAACGAUGUCUACUUGGAGGUUGUGGCCUUGAGCCGUGGCUUUCGGAGCUAACGCGUUAAGUAGACCGCCUGGGGAGUACGGUCGCAAGAUUAAAACUCAAAUGAAUUGACGGGGGCCCGCACAAGCGGUGGAGCAUGUGGUUUAAUUCGAUGCAACGCGAAGAACCUUACCUACUCUUGACAUCCAGAGAACUUUCCAGAGAUGGAUUGGUGCCUUCGGGAACUCUGAGACAGGUGCUGCAUGGCUGUCGUCAGCUCGUGUUGUGAAAUGUUGGGUUAAGUCCCGCAACGAGCGCAACCCUUAUCCUUGUUUGCCAGCGAGUAAUGUCGGGAACUCCAGGGAGACUGCCGGUGAUAAACCGGAGGAAGGUGGGGACGACGUCAAGUCAUCAUGGCCCUUACGAGUAGGGCUACACACGUGCUACAAUGGCGCAUACAGAGGGCGGCCAACUUGCGAAAGUGAGCGAAUCCCAAAAAGUGCGUCGUAGUCCGGAUUGGAGUCUGCAACUCGACUCCAUGAAGUCGGAAUCGCUAGUAAUCGUGGAUCAGAAUGCCACGGUGAAUACGUUCCCGGGCCUUGUACACACCGCCCGUCACACCAUGGGNNNNNGCUGCAAAAGAAGUAGGUAGUUAACCUUCGGGGGGAC
RNAcentral lists this ribosomal RNA (726 nucleotides) under Vibrio parahaemolyticus. RNAcentral's name for it is "bacterial SSU rRNA". It matches the Rfam family "Bacterial small subunit ribosomal RNA", at positions 731 to 1450 of the family's 1533-position model. The record is from RNAcentral. Lineage: Bacteria; Pseudomonadati; Pseudomonadota; Gammaproteobacteria; Vibrionales; Vibrionaceae.